Molecule: ribosomal RNA, 301 nt
Filed under: uncultured bacterium
Lineage: Bacteria
Description: partial 16S ribosomal RNA
Rfam family: Bacterial small subunit ribosomal RNA
Source: RNAcentral
CAGUAGCCGCGGUAAUACGAAGGGUGCAAGCGUUAAUCGGAAUUACUGGGCGUAAAGCGUGCGUAGGCGGUGAGUUAAGUCUGCUGUGAAAUCCCCGGGCUCAACCUGGGAAUGGCAGUGGAUACUGGCUCGCUAGAGUGUGUCAGAGGAUGGUGGAAUUCCCGGUGUAGCGGUGAAAUGCGUAGAGAUCGGGAGGAACAUCAGUGGCGAAGGCGGCCAUCUGGGACAACACUGACGCUCAUGCACGAAAGCGUGAGGAGCAAACAGGAUUAGAUACCCCUGUAGUCCCUGUCUCUUAUAC